This is a long non-coding RNA of Myodes glareolus (Bank vole), 2446 nucleotides long. RefSeq lists it as uncharacterized. Lineage: Eukaryota; Metazoa; Chordata; Mammalia; Rodentia; Cricetidae. The record is from RefSeq and is a predicted model, not a curated record.
UCUGUCUCUGACCACAUGCAGGUCUAGAGGCACACUGCAGACAUCCAGCCACCUGGGGCCACCUGGCGCCUUGGCUUCUCCUCUCGGAGCUCACCUUACCUCUAUCUCCUCUCCUUCCUCCCCCACCUGCCACCCGGGGCGCAAUGCAGGGGAAGCUAGCACUUAUCAAGACAAAGAACAAAAGUCGUGGGGGCAAGAAGCCAAGAGCCAUCUCUACUCUGGGGUAGGUAGGGCCUUCAGCUUCGCCCCUUUGAAAUUUCAAAUUCCAGUUUGUGGACAAAGUCCUAACUAUCUCACAAUAUAGGUCCCCAACUGCUGACCAAACUCCAGUCCAGGCAGCCACCUGGUCUGAAACUGGCCGGGCUUUGCCGUUUCCUUUGGCAGCUCCCAAGACCUGAGGGUAGGAGCCCUUAGGCAGCUGGGACCUACUAGGCUAUCCUGAAGCCCCCAGCUCACUACCAAGGAAUCUCUGUUCCUAUCUGAGAGGACUACCUCUGUUUGAAGCUGGAAUCUGAUUCUUGUUGGUGUCAACAACUGAAACCAGGUGGUAGCUUCAUACUUCUGUUCUCUGAAGUAAGCCGUGACGGUGACACUUGCCGACGAGAUGUGAGGAAAAGCAAGUUGUGCUGGCCCCAGUCCGAAGCUUUGAGUCUAGGAGCUUCAACAGGGUGGGUAUUGAGUAAUCGUGGUCAGGAGCGCCCCCUUCUGACCACAGAGGGACAUGCACUGUAAGAGAGCUGGAAACCAGCUAAGUGGAGCCAGGCUUGGGCCUUUUGGUCACAGACUAGCCAUUCCUGAUCCGUUGGGACAAACUUCCUAAAGGCUUCACAGAUUUUCCCAAGACCAGAACUGCUUCUGUCAUCUGAAAACCAUUUCUAAUGCUACCUACACACACAUUUUCUUGCACGAGAUCACGUCUUUUUACUUAGUUUUAUUGUUUAGCUUUUUUUAAAAAAAACUUUUUGAGGCAGGGUCUCAUGGAGCCCAAGCUGGCCUCAAACUUGCUAGGUAGCUGAGAAUGAGCUGGUUCCACUUUCCUGGUGCUGGAUCUGCAGGAAUGUGACACUAAGCCAGUUUUUAUGCGUCACUGGAGAACGGGUGUUCACACUUGCUAGGCGAACACCCCACUGAUUGGGCUACAUCUCCAGCCCUAGAUUUAUUUUCAAAAGAAAUCUGAUUCCCAUCAAGUGAGAUAUCAUCCCCUAAUUAGAAAGCAAUGGGAAACAAUCAUAAUGAAACAAGCCAUUUUGUUACCUCCUGACUCGAAAUUGUUUGCCCCCGUGUCCCUGGUCUGUCCCCUCUUUGUUAAAAAGGAAGGGUUGGAGAUGGCUAGAAAGUGUGGCACCAGCGCCAUGUCAAGGCUGAAAAAACACAUUCUGGCCCCUGACUUUCUGGCCUUGAAUGUAUACGCUCUACCACUGCACUGGACCCCCAGCCCUGGGUCUGUUCUCUCGCUUGUGAAUAUCGCUGGCAACGUGCAGGCUCCUGGGCUACCGUGGAGUUAAUGGCACUGAUGUGGGUAAAGGGCUGGAGCCUUGCCUGGCGCACUGUGAGUGCCACAUAGAUGUCAGUUGGGAAACAAAGGCAGGAUUAAGAUCCGAACUCCGUCUGGCCACAGUGGCACACUACAGUGACUCCAGCACCAGGGUGGCUGCGGCAAGAGAAGCGGGAGUUCAAAGUCAGCCGGAGCUGCGGCGGAAGGCUGGCACAGGCUACAGGCUUUGUCUUAAAAUAAAGAAACAAAACACGAUGACCCAAAUGUCUUUGAAUCAGUGUAAACACCAUAGAGGAUGGGGGAAAAUUCCUCUUCAUUGGUUAAAAAUAAAUCUCAGGGAUGCUGUGAGUGGGAAUGGCUCCCUCAGUGGCAGGUGACGUAACAGAGCCCUUGGUUUUAUUUGGAGACAGCGACUCCAACUCUACAGUGUCCUGUGUCACUCAUGAGAAUGCAGUGCUCAGGUUGGAAGAGCCAAUGCACACUCUCCUGAAAUGACCAAAUAUGGACACGGGAUUUUCGGAGGAACACUUAGGACAGGAUAGGGCACCCUUUGGGGGAUGACUGAAGGUGUGGAGAGGAGUGGUCCGGGCGCUAGGGAGCAGCAGAGAGGCAGUUCUGCUAAGGGCUGUGGCCUUUGAACUGUCUGAUCCUGGGCAAGUUACAAGCUCUUCAGAUCUUAUUUGCUUCACCUACAAGAUAGGACUCAACAAUAGCGCCUCUUUAUAGAGAGCUUUGUGGGGUGACUGUGAUAAGCCUCACACACCUGGCAUGCAGGUGCCCAGCGUGCAGCUAUGCUUGGGUUCAAAAUGGAUCCAAGGUGAUCGCUUGCUAGACUGUUUACCUAGCAUGUGCAAAUUUCUGGGUCUUAUUCCCAGCACUACAAAAACAAAGAAUUUUCUGGGAAAUAAGAAUUCUCUGGUUCCUAUGAUCCCAGAGAGCAAACCAAAAUCA